This 339-nucleotide ribosomal RNA is filed under the name Vibrio sp. KR11-05. RNAcentral describes it as "bacterial SSU rRNA". It matches the Rfam family "Bacterial small subunit ribosomal RNA", at positions 1105 to 1444 of the family's 1533-position model. Lineage: Bacteria; Pseudomonadati; Pseudomonadota; Gammaproteobacteria; Vibrionales; Vibrionaceae. The record is from RNAcentral.
UUAUNCUUGUUUGCCAGCACGUAAUGGUGGGANCUCCAGGGAGACUGCCGGUGAUAAACCGGAGGAAGGUGGGGACGACGUCAAGUCAUCAUGGCCCUUACGAGUAGGGCUACACACGUGCUACAAUGGCGCAUACAGAGGGCAGCCAACCAGCGAUGGUGAGCGAAUCCCAAAAAGUGCGUCGUAGUCCGGAUUGGAGUCUGCAACUCGACUCCAUGAAGUCGGAAUCGCUAGUAAUCGUGAAUCAGAAUGUCACGGUGAAUACGUUCCCGGGCCUUGUACACACCGCCCGUCACACCAUGGGAGUGGGCUGCAAAAGAAGUGGGUAGUUAACNUCGG